UGGGGAAUAUUGGACAAUGGGCGAAAGCCUGAUCCAGCCAUGCCGCGUGUGUGAAGAAGGUCUUCGGAUUGUAAAGCACUUUAAGUUGGGAGGAAGGGCAGUAAGCGAAUACCUUGCUGUUUUGACGUUACCGACAGAAUAAGCACCGGCUAACUCUGUGCCAGCAGCCGCGGUAAUACAGAGGGUGCGAGCGUUAAUCGGAUUUACUGGGCGUAAAGCGUGCGUAGGCGGCUAAUUGAGUCGGAUGUGAAAUCCCCGAGCUUAACUUGGGAAUUGCAUUCGAUACUGGUUAGCUAGAGUGUGGGAGAAGAUGGUAGAAUUCCAGGUGUAGCGGUGGAAUGCGUAGAGAUCUGGAGGAAUACCGAUGGCGAAGGCAGCCAUCUGGCCUAACACUGACGCUGAGGUACGAAAGAAUGGGGAGCAAACAGG
RNAcentral lists this ribosomal RNA (429 nucleotides) under Pseudomonadota bacterium. Its description in RNAcentral is "Proteobacteria bacterium partial 16S ribosomal RNA". It matches the Rfam family "Bacterial small subunit ribosomal RNA", at positions 355 to 776 of the family's 1533-position model. The record is from RNAcentral. Lineage: Bacteria; Pseudomonadati; Pseudomonadota.